This is a long non-coding RNA of Bombus terrestris (buff-tailed bumblebee), 4580 nucleotides long. RefSeq lists it as uncharacterized. The record is from RefSeq and is a predicted model, not a curated record. NCBI's taxonomy places the organism in Eukaryota, Metazoa, Arthropoda, Insecta, Hymenoptera, Apidae. The transcript is spliced from 3 exons.
GAAUAGUGGGGAUAUUGAGGGGCGACUAAAAGAAAAGAAUGGAAUCCGAUCGACAGUUAGCUUCGAAAUAGGAAGCGAUAAAGUCGAGCUGUAACCGGACAGCGAGAUUGACUAGCGAAACUGAGAACAAUACGCGACGCGAUCAAAAGAAGACACUUGUUAAUAAAUAUAUUGUUGACCUAAACAUCGAGUGAUUAUUUAACGCACUACACCCAAUGACACAUCAGAGAUAUCGCGUAGUAAUUAUAAUACGUUGACAAAAAUUGCCUAUGAAUACGUGCGCACUCCUUCGUCGUUAAAUUAAACCGUUAAACAUAAGUAAGUGUUACAGUACUUUCGAACUAUAGAGAUUAGGAUGUGAAAGAACAACAUGCCAGAUAGAGCCAGCCAAAGUUUCGGCUGGACGUGACCCGAAGUGUCCUGGAAAUUGCCGUGUAAUUUGUCUAUAUUGUGCAAGAGAAGAAAUAAAAUAGAAAAAUAGAAAAGAAGGAAAUGCGAGCAAAUGAAGAUAUAGGAUGGAUCCAGCGAAGUAUCCAAAUUUUGUUUCGUGUUAAACCCAAUUGCCGAGUUCCGUUCGAAUUGAUUCAAUGCCAAAGUUAUUCAGUUGAGAAAAACAGAUAAACGAUAACCAAGUCGUUAUGGAAAUAGUUAGGAAUAGGAAUAAAAAAAAUUGCAGGAAACUGACGGGUACGGAGGAACGUGACAAUAUGAACGCGACACGCAAGUAACAACGCAGUCGUUAUUUUUCAUAAUUAUCCGGCAAAACGAAUCUGUGGAAAACAAAAGUUGUGGAGCGUUAACGAGGAGGAUUUUCAGUCGAUCCAAUGGAUAAUGACAUUAGCUCUCUGUGCUGUCGCAUUAUUUUAAUGGCAAAUUCUUUAUUUCGCUUCUCUUUCGCCGGUGUAUUCAAGAGCUUUUUAAGAUUUAACGAGGACGUGGCCGCCUUUCAAUUUUACCGGUGCGAAAACAGCAACUGAAAAGAUACAAAAUAUCGCCCCUGACCAUAAUUCCCUCUUCUCUGUUGAGUUGUCGUCGUCGCCGAAUUUUCCUACUGCUAAAAACCACUCAACAGAGUGCGCAGGAUCCAAGUGGCGAAUAUUUUUGCAAUUAUUUUGCUGACUUUGCAAGCACAGUGGCUCUUUAUUUUUAUUCUCAGACCAAGUAGGCGUGUCUGGUCAAAUCUAUUUCUGUUUUGGUUUUCACAAGAAUGGCUUGAAAUAUAAAAUAUUAUACUCUCGGUUUUAAUUAAUGAAGACAGAACUUUCUCAUUUAAUAGAUUUUUGUGUUGUCUAUUUGGCAUUUUGCGCUAGCGGCUACAUUUUAAGCGAAAUAAAGAGAUACGCCCUUUUUACCAGAGUUAUUUCUAAAAAUUGUUAAGGUUCGGGUCUGAGUGAAAAUCGUGGGAACAACGAGUUUCGCAGAUGUAAAUAACAUGGUAUGCUUGACAUUCUAAUUUUUUCGGUGGGGCGUGAGCUUCUCUGGCUGGAAAUACGCGUUUCCCGCCCUUUUCCCUUCCCACCAUUGAUUUUCUACGGCACUGCGGAGACCGCAUCUCUUUUAUCUAUAGCUCAGAGACAACAUUCCUUCUUAAUUUGUUCCGAAUCACAGGAUUCACGAUCAUCCGACGUUUAUCCUGCGCUAUUCAGACACGGUUGUUAGCUUUUUUCAGUGUUUAUCGAGGUUUUACGUGGAAAUGAAAGAUACUAUUUUAUUCCAUGCCAAGUAUAUUUUGAACUAUUUUUCCAAAAAAGGAGGAAGUAAAAUAAAAAAACAACAGGCAAGAGCUUGUAAUUAAAUUUCAGGGAAAACGUGAAACAAAAUCAAAGUGCAGAUCCAAGAGAAAAAAUCAGAGAAGAAAAAAAAAUCUCUUCGUGUACAAAAUGUUACAUUGAAAUGGAUAUUUUUAAACAUCAAAAGCGUGAAACUCGAGACACCGUUUCAACCAUGUUAAGACAAAUUAAAUCCAAAAAAAAGCGAAGAAAAGGGAAAAGCAGAAAGAGAAUUGGUUUCUCUUUCUAAAGCGUUUAAGAAAAUGGUAAUUACACAGAAAAAAAGAACAUCUUCCCGAUUUCAAUGGGCAUGAGAUACGCUGUCAAGGACGACACAGUGAACUACUUUUUUCUACAUACGCAGCCACAGCUCGGUCCUCGUUUUACCGAGACAUUUCCAAAAAACUUCAAUUAAAUUUGAGUUCCAUUACGCUUCAUUCUGGUGUAUAGAUAGUCGUUCAAUUUUUGUAUAGUUCAACCUAACCUUAACUUAUCGAUGCUAAUUAUCUUCAAUAUAAAUAAAAAAAAAGAUAAAUCAAUGGGUUGUAGAUUAUUAAAUUAGAAUUUAGUUAAAUGUUAGUUAAAUGCUAGAUUAAUAUAUUUCACAACGUUGGCACGACUUGGUAUUCAUUUCAUUCGCUUUUGUAAGUGUUCGUAAAUUCGACUACUAUCGUUUAUUAUUAUACGCUUCUGUCUAUAGCUGAAAACGUUACGCGUUAAGGGCAUUUAUAGACACCUGCUGACUCUAAUUUAUUGACAGACAAGUAAGACAUAGUAUAACAUUUCAUAGAUCGAUAGAUUCACUGAAAAUCAUUCGGUUGGCAACUAAGUGAUAGCGGAUUUUGUCAUUACCACCUAAUGUGAAAAUCUGCAAUCACUUAGUUGCCAACCCAAUAAUUCACGUUAGCAUUAUCCAGUAGCCUUCCCAUUUUUUUCUUCUAUCUAUUUAAAGUGGUUUUCUCUCUCUCUCUCAUUAGCUAAUUAAGUUUACAUUGGAUUAUGUAAGGAUAUAUAUGUAGGAAAUAUAUAUUGGAUUAUGUAAGGAAAUAUAUGUAGCCACCUACUCGACAAUCCGACGUAAUCGUGACGUAAAUUAUAUCGAAGGUUUCCGCUGAUACAGUUUUUCCUCAAAACAAUCAACUAGUUUCUCACUGGAAACAGACAACUCACUAUGUUUCCAUUUGAAGUUUUUUUUAUUUGAUUUACCGACAGAGUAAGAAAUCGCAGAAUGAGUAAGCGAUCCGUAAAAGCGAGAAACCAUCAAUUUUUAUGAUCCAACGAACAGUGACUCGUUUCAGUAAAAGACCAAUGGAAUACGUACAAUGCUUCCUGACUCUGGUUUAGCAAUCCUCGCGUAUUACGUGCUGCUCAACCGAUCGCUUUAUACGAUCCGUCGCUAUCUCGAGUUCCUCGCUCGUUCUCCGUAUUCUCGCUUGUCCCGUUCGAGAACAAAGUGAAACCGAAUAGCAUGCCAGACUCGUAAUGAGCAUCUCGUCGAUCCUGAGCGUGCGGCUUAUUUCCAAGCAAAAUUGUAUGUCGGAAACUAAGGUCGCAAGCGACGGUAACAUAUACAGUAGGACAAGCGCAAGUUCGAACGGUUCGAUAUUCGAACAAUUUCAAUUCGAACGAACGUGUCAAGGGAAAUCCAGCUUCUGAACUCGAAGGAAAACUGGAAGUUGGAGCAAAGAGACGGACAGUUGCUUGUCGUUGUGUAAGCGUCACGUUGUCGCCUGAUCUCUCUGCUCAGGCCGGGAUCGGGACAGUGAAAUGCAGGUUAAGAAGAAGAAAGAGAAACAAAGGGACGUUUGUCGUUUCGACGCUCGUUCUUGCAGUCGUCGGUGUAGUUCUUCUGUGAUUGUCUCAGCGAGUGUACUAAAUUUGUUUUCUUACCAUUUAUUAAUACGAAUUUUAGGGACAGGUAUUUGCAAUGUCUCAUAUUGAGAACAUGUCGAAUGGGAGGGAUCGAUUCAACUUACGCCAUUUCAAAUGGGACAAUUUAAUUCGAUGUUCGACCAACUCGAGGCUCGAACCGUUGAACGUCUCCUGGAACGGAUAGUGUUCGAUGUUCGAGGAUCUACUGUAUGUAGAGGAAAGUUAUUCGGAAUGUUGAUCUUAGCAUGAAAUUCGUAUUUGAAGAUUCUACAUUAUUUCAUUGUUAAUAAAUAUUUUCCAACCAAGUAACCAGUUGCAAGCUAAUCAAUUUUAUCCGAUGGCUAGAAACUCAAGUCUAUAUUUCAUCAGACAUCAUGAUCUCUACCUAUGUCACAAAAGAGCGAAUUCUUGGCAGACAGUUUCGCGUCAACAGCACUCGCUGGGUACACGUGAGAAAAUUUGUCAGGCUGAUUCAUCGUCUUUCGUUCUUACUCUGCUGCCAGCUAUUGUAAGAAAGUGGCUCUUGUUCAUUGCCAAAAUCCAUUCUAUCCAUGUCCUCGAUCUUAUUAUUAUUAUCCUCCUGUUUGAUAACAAUAACGUUAUUAUUUCAUAGAAAAUUUCCAACUUACAAACUUCCCUCUCAACUCGGUUUCUAAAUUUAAAAUAUUUAAACAGUUUGCAAUUUAAAAAAUGGUGACUGGACGUUCUCCUCCCGUUUAGCACCAGAGUUGGUCAUCGUUCGAAUUGUUUCGAAUAAAUAUUUUCUUACGAUAAUUAUCUUAGGGAUAAAUUCAUAUAAGCUGAAUAUUUUACCUGUGGUAUAAUUAUUUCUUAUCCACGUUAUUUAUUAUCCAUGUUAUUAGCAAAUUAUGUUCUAUAUUUAUUCGAAUAACGAAUAAUAAUGGGAAUUUGUACAAAUAUACGCAGACUCCAAUACGA